UUAGCAUAUGAGCUUAAUCCAGGCAGAUUUUAUUUUCACAUUUUACAGAUGAAGAAACUAAGAAUGUGAGACCUAAAAGAACUUGCCCAAGAUGACAAGGGAAAUAAGCAGCAGAACUAGCCAGGGCUCAAAUCCAAAUUUUCUGGCUCCAAAGCACAUGUGCACUGGAAUAUAUGUAAGAAGACUGAACUGUCUCUGAAGGAAUAUAGUAUCAUCCAGAGCCUCUACAGUGUUUCACGCUCACUGUCCAGCAAUCACUAAAGUGCCUGGAAGUUAUAACCAGCUUCCCCCAAGGAAGAUCAUAGCCAACACCUGAUUGCUAUAAGAGGAGUAGAAUUCCUGCAAAAUCUCCAGUCUCUUGCUUCCAGUUGCAGACAUCCUUCACAGACAGAUCAGCAAAAGACCAGAAAGAAUCAGUGUAACAGGAAAUAAACGAGAAAUUCAAAGAUCAUGACCUGUAAUACCUUUUUAACUACUACCUUACCAUCUGACCUUCUGCUAGUAGCUCAUCCUUGCAUACCUCCUUUCUAUAGUUUGUAAAAAUGGGAAUGACAACAGUGUGGUUACCCCCCAAAGGGAUUGGGUAGAAAAAACGGGCACAGGGGCUGUAAAAUACCUUGCAGGCCAUAAAAUGCUACAUAAAUGCUUGAAAACAAAACAAGAGCCCCAUGGUUUAAUAUAAAACUAGUUUUUCAGCUAAACUAAGUACUAGCAGAAGUAACUGAGAUCAAACAGGAAAAUAUGCAAAGCUCCUGGUCAUGAUUAAAAGGGUUUAUUUGUUUGAAUUGAUUUUAUGGACUGAUGGGUAUGUGUCUGCACAGACUACACGAGCCAAUGUGUAUGGAGUCAUCCAGUCAUGACACGGUACUCUUCACAGGAUA
Molecule: long non-coding RNA, 881 nt
Organism: Camelus dromedarius (Arabian camel)
Lineage: Eukaryota; Metazoa; Chordata; Mammalia; Artiodactyla; Camelidae
Exons: 3
Source: RefSeq, a predicted model, not a curated record